Molecule: ribosomal RNA, 544 nt
Filed under: uncultured bacterium
Lineage: Bacteria
Description: partial 16S ribosomal RNA
Rfam family: Bacterial small subunit ribosomal RNA
Source: RNAcentral
AGAGUUUGAUCCUGGCUCACCNANCAAUGCUGGCGGCGUGCUUAACACAUGCAAGUCGAACGAGAUGAUUGAAAGCUUGCUUUUGAAAGUCGAGUGGCAAACGGGUGAGUAACGCGUAGACAACCUGCCGUAAAGAUGGGGACAACAGUCCGAAAGGACUGCUAAUACCGAAUGUUGUGGAACUUCCGCAUGGGAGCUCCACUAAAGAUGGCCUCUACUUGUAAGCUAUCGCUUUACGAUGGGUCUGCGUCUGAUUAGCUAGUUGGUGGGGUAAAGGCUUACCAAGGCGACGAUCAGUANCCGGUCUGAGAGGAUGAACGGCCACAUUGGAACUGAGACACNGUCCAGACUCNACGGGAGGCAGCAGUGGGGAAUCUUCCGCAUGGGCGCAAGCCNNANUGANCAACGCCGCGUGAGUGAAGAAGGGUUUCAACUCGUAAAANUCUUUUGUCGGGNACGAAUGUGNGAUGNGAAUAACCAUUUUCAUGACGNACCUGACAAGGAACCCACGGUUUACCUUCGUGCCNNCANCCGCGGAAUACCU